CCCACUGGGAGAGGAACUGUGGAGGUUGGCAAACUGGGGCUGGGACCCAGGCCAUUGGGACCUUGUCUGUCUUUCCGUCAUCCUUAGCAGGUCACCUCCACCCUCGUGCUCAGAAGAUGCUAAUGUUCCUCCAGGGACCAUGCCCAGAGGAAAGGGACAGAAGGCCUGAUGGGGCAAACUGGGCCUGUCCCCUUCAUGCUUAUAUCUCAUCAGCCAGAACCACCUCACGUGCUAUCCCCAUGUGCAGUCACUGAGAAUCACCAGGGAGGACGAAGGGCCUUGGGGUGCACACCAGCACCCCAGUCGACUGUGCCCUGGCAUAGCUGCCUCCCUGUCUCCUCCUCCAUUUUGCCAAAGGCCCCCACGUGGAGGGCAGAGUCCUGGCUUCAGCAGCCUUCCCGCUGGCCCCUGAAGAGUGGAUUGGCAUUUUAUGGCAAUUUGGCAGAAAGCACGAUGGAUAUGGCCUCUGCCACCACAGAGGGGGCAGUGGUGGGGUAAGUGGAGGCUGGGGACAGCACAACGGAUUGGAAAGCACGUAGAAGAGGCGUGGACCCCAGUCUAGAGGGGGCAAUGGGCAGGGAGAACUUCCAGGAGGCGGGAGCUGUCCUGGCUAAAACCUAAAAGGCAGACAAGAGCAAGUUGGGAAGGAAUCCAAGAGGGUGACAAGUGACACAGCUAAGGAACAGGGAGGAAUCUGGAGGGUGCGGGAAGAACCGAGGUUGGAGAAGCAGGCCCAGCGCAGGGUGUCCAGAGCUGUGUGUGUGGGGCAGGGAAUAAAACCAAGGGUGGCCUGGGGAGCAGUCCCUUGGUGCUGCGGGGUCCUUGGGGGGUGGGGGGCUGGGUGAGAUCACAGGCCUCCGCAGAGCCCCUGCACCUAAGGCCCUACUUGGAGCACCAGGGCUGGUGACCUCAGGGCAUUUAACUCUUGGUACUUGGUGGUGGUGGGGGGCUGGGGCAAGGGUGCAGGAUAAAGGAGGGGGGCCUCACGGAAGGGAGAUCAGGGUUCAGUAGAUACUCUCUUCCAUAUGAAAUAGGAGGUGUGGCUUCUGUCAAGAGGGGCCGGUACAAGAGGGGACUAACUAGGCUCUAGCUAAGGGCCAGCUAGAGGCUGACUAGGAGCCCGCCUUUCUGGUGGGGCAGGAUCAGCACAGGGUUGCGGCCAGGGUGGUCUGGGCAGGAGUGCGGCCACAGAAGGCUGGCACGAAGUCACUCGCCUCCUUCUUACCAAAUCCAGGCAUCCAGUUCUACUCCAUCAUGCCACCCGAAUCCUCUCUUUGGGCUUUAUAACCUCGAAUCUAAACCUGAUCCCUACCUACACCUAAAAAGGAAAUUUGGGGAAAAAUGAAAAUGCUAAAUUUGUUUAAAUUGUCAUAAAAGAAGAUAGUCAUUCGUAGAUUUUCAUGAGUAACCGGAAAUGUUCACAAAGCACUUUGUGUUAUGAUGGGAAAGACAAGAAGCAUGCUUAUCAGUUAUUUAGUGCCUACUCUAUGCCUUCUCUUCACUGGUGGGCAGCGACAGCCCCUUCCCACCCCCAUUCCCCCACCCCCCACCCCCCCAACCAAGCUCCCUCCCUGCCACUCAGAGCGAGAUGGCUUAGUGGACUGAAGCCCCUGAACAUACUCUUUGCCCAGAGAAAAAUCCUGUCUGCACUUGGCCCAGGAAUGGAGACACAGCCCUGGUGACCUCCCCCUUCUGACUGCCUCCCCCUUCUGACUGCCUUUUGAGCCCUGAGUGGUGGGAGAAGGUGUAGGUUUCAUUUGCCAGGGAGGUGGGGCGGGGGGGGGGAGGUUGGUGGGAGCUGGGGAAAAGUCGGUGGGAGCCCCAGGAAGCCUAGGUGAAGUUAUACUGGAUGCUACUGGAAGGGUGAGCACAGCUAGGAGAGACUGAGCCUGAGUUGGGGGGUGGGGGUGAGGAGAUGACCCAGCUCCUGGGGAGACAGUCCCAGGUUCUGCAGGGCUGUGUGAUACCCUGCCUUCUGGGGCUGCACUCCGUGGCACUUCCUACUUGGGUUUUAUGGCAAGGUUCCUUCGCCCCUGAGCGGGGCACAUCUGAGCCUAUAAAACGGGCAGCUUGUCUCUCACGGGAUCUCUGGGGAGGAAAAAAAUACUGAUAAAGCAUUUCCGAUUCUAAGAAGGAUGCCUGACAUACAGCAAGUGCUGGGGGGGACGGUGGGGAAACUGAGCAAUCACGUAGGACUACGUGGAAACACAGAUGGCCCUAACCUCUCUCCACCCCACUUCCGCACUCAGCCCACGCUUCUGGUCCCACCAAACUGCCCACCUCUCUGCAAGUGCCCCCUGCCUCUUGUGGUCUCUGCUUUCAGUUCGUCUUGGUUCUCUGGAUCUGAAAUGCCCUGGCCCUUGUUUCUUGUCACCCUCCAGCCCCCUCUCCUCCAUUUAAGGAUCUCCUCCCUGCCCCCUCCCUCCCGACAGCCUUGGGGGCGGGCUGCCAGCUCCUGGCUGGGCCCUCAGCUGCACACACACCUGUCCUGUGGAAGAAAGUUCUCUGGCUCCACAGAGGGCCAGGCGAGAACGCCCAGUCCCAGCCCUAGAAGCGGGGAACGUCUCAAUGGCCAGGAAAGGAGGCCGAAGUCUGCCCUGGUUCUUCCGAUUCCUGGACCCUGACACCCUUUCAGCCAUCCCCAAAGGGACUGCGGGGUGUGGCAGCUGGCAGCAGCUGUCCAGGGCCAGGAGUCCUUCCAACCGUCACCGACAUUGACCAUCCUAUCAAGGAGUGCCACAGUCAACUGUGUGAUGGACUGCUCUCGUCCCUCCACAUCCAUCCGUGCCUUUGCGAUAAAACCCUGCUUUUGGUGUGGAAAUGAAGUGAUUGCGCAAUCCCACAGCCCUCCUUGGCAGCCGCGUGUGGCCAUGUGUGGAUUUCAGGAAGCCCGGAAAGGGGACAAGCGUGUUCCUCUUCCCGCCCUUUCCUGCUGCCCCUGGGCUGGAAGGCGGCCAAGUGAUUGGCUGCCAUCUCUGACCACGAGACGGAGGCCACGUUGUGAGGACGGAAGAGCAACGGCUGACCACCAAGGACCAACCCCGGAUUGCCUAUAUCAAGCAUAUGAAGUCUACGGCCAUACCACCCUGAAUGCGCCCGAUCUCGUCUGAAAUAGCAUAUGAAGACAGCUACGUCACAGAUCAGGAACUGGAAGGAGGUCCAGGCACUGUCCAUCCCAUCUCCCUAUAAUACAGAUGAGGAAACUGAGGCCCAGGAAAGGAACACGACUAGGGCACCCCACACGGUGAGUUGGUGGUCUGGACUCUGGCCAGUGGGCACGUCCCACCCUGCCCACCUGUCCCCUGUCCUUGUGUUGGCCCCUGAAACAAGCUUGAGAGGUAGAUGUAGGAUAUGUGGGGUCUGCCUUGGCUGCCUGUCGGAGCUCUAGUUCUUCUGCUGCGGGAACAUCUGUUGGCUUCCAGAAAACAGCCCGGCUGACAAUCAGACCAAGAAGUCCCUGGAGGAACAAAGACCAUGUUCAGAAGGGCACACAGACAAGGCCACUCCGGGCCAGCGGCUCCAGCCGACUUUAAUCCUCCCCCCUCCUAGGUAUUAAUGAAGAUCCCUGUUACUGAAUCCCCUCCAACUUCUAGAUAGCACCCAACCCCAGACCGCCUCUGCUUUCCCGACCUCUUCUCGAAUCGCUCCGCACCAACCUGAACCCUCUAAGAGGCCUCUCUUGGGACCUUCCUUUUGAGAUUCUCUGGAGAUCCUGUAGGGCAUGUACUUUGCUGCGCAAGCUAAAUAAACCUAACUUUUUUGGA
Acinonyx jubatus (cheetah) is the source of this 3764-nucleotide long non-coding RNA. RefSeq lists it as uncharacterized. The record is from RefSeq and is a predicted model, not a curated record. The transcript is spliced from 2 exons. NCBI's taxonomy places the organism in Eukaryota, Metazoa, Chordata, Mammalia, Carnivora, Felidae.